RNAcentral lists this ribosomal RNA (421 nucleotides) under uncultured bacterium. RNAcentral's name for it is "partial 16S ribosomal RNA". It matches the Rfam family "Bacterial small subunit ribosomal RNA", at positions 360 to 773 of the family's 1533-position model. The record is from RNAcentral.
AAUCUUCCACAAUGGACGGAAGUCUGAUGGAGCAACGCCGCGUGAGCGAAGAAGGUUUUCGGCUCGCAAAGCUCUGUUGUAAGGGAAGAACACGUACGGAGGUCACUGGCUGUACCGUGACGGUACAUUAUCAUAAAGCCACGGCUAACUACGUGCCAGCAGCCGCGGUAAUACGUAGGUGGCAAGCGUUGUCCGGAAUUAUUGGGCGUAAAGCGCGCGCAGGCGGUCCUUUAAGUCUGAUGUGAGAGCCCACGGCUCAACCGUGGAGGGUCAUUGGAAGCUGGAGGACUUGAGUACAGAAGAGGAAAGCGGAAUUCCACGUGUAGCGGUGAAAUGCGUAGAGAUGUGGAGGAACACCAGUGGCGAAGGCGGCUUUCUGGUCUGUAACUGACGCUGAGGCGCGAAAGCGUGGGGAGCAAAC